AGGACGAACGCUGGCGGCGUGCUUAACACAUGCAAGUCGAACGGAAAGGCCCGCUUGCGGGUACUCGAGUGGCGAACGGGUGAGUAACACGUGGGCAACCUGCCCUCAGCUUCGGGAUAACACUUGGAAACAGGUGCUAAUACCGGAUAAUAACCUUUCAUCGCAUGGUGGUUGGUUCAAAGUUUUUCGGCUGAGGAUGGGCCCGCGGCCUAUCAGCUUGUUGGUGGGGUAAUGGCCUACCAAGGCGACGACGGGUAGCCGGCCUGAGAGGGCGACCGGCCACGACCGUGGGACUGAGACACGGCCCAGACUCCUACGGGAGGCAGCAGUGGGGAAUAUUGGACAAUGGGCGCAAGCCUGAUCCAGCAAUGCCGCGUGUGUGAAGAAGGCCCUCGGGUUGUAAAGCACUUUUAUCAGGAACGAAAUACCACGGGUUAAUACCCUAUGGGCUGACGGUACCUGAGGAAUAAGCACCGGCUAACUUCGUGCCAGCAGCCGC
This 499-nucleotide ribosomal RNA is filed under the name uncultured bacterium. Its description in RNAcentral is "SSU rRNA". It matches the Rfam family "Bacterial small subunit ribosomal RNA", at positions 26 to 518 of the family's 1533-position model. The record is from RNAcentral.